UACGUAGGGGGCAAGCGUUGUCCGGAAUCAUUGGGCGUAAAGCGCGUGUAGGCGGUUCUGGAAGUCUGCUGUGAAAGUCCAGGGCUCAACCCUGGGAUGCCGGUGGAUACUGCAGGGCUAGAGUACGGAAGAGGCGAGUGGAAUUCCCGGUGUAGCGGUGAAAUGCGCAGAUAUCAGGAAGAACACCUAUGGCGAAGGCAGCACUCUGGGACGGUACUGACGCUGAGACGCGAAAGCGUGGGGAGCGAACAGG
This 253-nucleotide ribosomal RNA is filed under the name uncultured bacterium. RNAcentral describes it as "partial 16S ribosomal RNA". It matches the Rfam family "Bacterial small subunit ribosomal RNA", at positions 524 to 776 of the family's 1533-position model. The record is from RNAcentral.